UAAGUCGGGUUAUCUUUUGUCUUUAUCACUUCAUAAAGUAGCGCAAUUAAAGAUGUGAUGUUGCAUGGGUAUAAAGGGUGGGUCCAUAAUACACCGACAUAAUACACUGUGUUCUCGCCUGGAAGUUUGCAGCUAAGUUACGAUUUCGCUUUUUCUAGACUUAAAAAAAUCAAUAUUUUCUCAAUUAAAGAGAAUUUUAAUGCUUUACUUGCGAGUUGUUAAAGGCGCUGUAAAUUUUAUUGUAAUGCUUCUUGGCUUCAGAGUAGGUGCAGGAGGAGACCGGUUGAUUCACGUGGUCUUUUUCCUCUCAAAGAUCCUAGCCCAGGAGCAUCCCGUGUGUCAGAUCAAACCCCAGCAACAAAGGUAAGGAGGGUUCCCAGAGGGACUUAGCAAAGGGUGGGAGCCCGCCAGGGGAGCCCUCCAGCGCCAGAGGCCAUUGUCUUGUAUAUUUUCACCUCUCUGUGUCCGCCUCCUGAAAGUGACAGAAGUGUCCAUUUUACUCUAAUCUUUCUCAAAGAGGAGCACCGUUUGACUCCCAUCUGCUCCAUGAUGGUCAGGGAAAGAAAGCUAAACUGGGGGAGCAUUUUGUCUCUUCCCAACUCCCCCCCCCACCCCGUUUCUCUUUCCUUUCCUUAUUUCACGAAAAUUUAACUCGGAACUGGUCCUCUCACAAAUUCUGCCAUAUUUUAUAUGUGUUCUGGUCUCUAGGUCAGAACCCACUCCCCACCCUCAAGAGCAGCACUGUUUACAGAUGUUUUCUCCUUCCACACGUCCCACCUAGUAAAAGUUGCCACAGAGAAUUAACUGUGGUGUGUUAAUAGCCCAGGUCUGCUACUGCUCUCUCCUGCAAAGUUGAAAUCUGGUAAGGCGAAGAGUGGCAUUGAACUAAACUUGGAGAGCUGCUCCAGGCCGGCAGAAGCCCUAAGACUUGAGAAGUCCAGGCCCAGGGACUUGGUGGGAAGCAAGGUAGUAAAACUUUUAGAUUGCAAGGUGGAGAGGAGGAUAAGAAAAUGUGGCUAGAAUGGUACCUAAUAAGAGAAGUAUAGGGCAAGGCAGAAAAAUGAGCCUUUGUAAUUUAGAAAGAAGUAAUAAUGAAGGCAAAUCGAAAUACCUAAGGCUUGCUAUUAAUUUUUUUUUUUUAACCUAGUGUCUAAGAACAAGUCCUCAGAGAUGCCAGGGAGGGCCUGAGUUUCCAAAUGGAACUACUCACAAAGUUCCUUUGCAGUUCCCUCUUCAGUUAAUUUGCUGGGAAUGAGAAGACCCGGGAAAGGGCUCUGUGUGUGGUGCACCCAGAGCUGAAGUAAGGGUAUGGUGAGAAGGGGCACCUAGCUAUAAUGAGGCUGCUGUUUUAAGUUUGAAUAGAGAAGGGGGAAUAGAGAAAAAGCCACACAACAUCACAACACACUUUAAAAUAAUUCUCACCUGCCUGCCUUUCUUUUUCACUUUAACCACACACUCUAUCAAAUAUUACACAUUGGUGGGGGAAAUUUCUGGUUCAUCAUCUUUUGUCCGCAGACCCACCGGAUUGAUCCAGCUUCCCUUAGAUUCCUGACAUGUAAGCCUAGACCAUGGCCUUUUUAUCAAAAACCCCCCACCCCGCGUCACCAACCCUACUCUUUGGGGACUCUCUGGGAUGGGACCCAGGGACCUCAGGGAACCAGCGCUCCUGGGGCAAGGCUAAGGCAGCCCGGUCUGGUGGCAGUGAAGUGAUGCCUCAGUCGGCUUGUGUUUGAAGAACUGCUGGGGUUAUUGUGACAAGUGAGGGCAAAGAAGGGAAAACAGAAGCAAAGAAAACCAUCUCAAAAGCCUUGGAUUUGCUGCUGUUAAAAGGCUGCUGUUCAUUUCUGAUUUGCUCAUCUUUUGCUACAAAGGAAAAAGAAAUCUAAUGAUGUGUCUACAUUUGAUGAGAAGAAAACAGUAACAACAACAGCGAAGGUGCACUUGUUUUAUUUUCUUUUUCCCUGAAAAAAAUUUUUAAUAUCCACCAGUUUAGCAAGUUGAAAGCUGUGGAGAUGUAAAAAAAGAUGUUCGCUUGUCCACAUCUAUUCACUGACUUUCAUCACUGGAAUUUUGCAGAAUCGCGUGUCAAAUUGAAAUUAUGGGAAAGAGAAUUAGACACUUGCCAAGGAACAGCAAUAUUAUACACUUUCAAGUAAGCGCCACCUAAUCCUGUAUUUGAGUGCUGAGGGGGUGUGUGCUAUUUUCCCCUAAUAAACCUGAAAGCCCUCAUUAGACAUAAAGAGGGGUGAGAACUCUAUUACUGGGCACUCUGACAAAAAUGGAAACAGUGCAUCUCUGCUCCUAGAGUCCAAGGAAAGGACACCCCGAAAAAACGCCAAGCCCUUGUGUUUUCCUUUAGAGCCCUGAGUUGGGCAGAAUUCAGAGAAAUCAACAUUUUAGAAAGCAAAAUGUUGAAACGGAGGGCGGUGGUUAGCCAAUAAAUAAAUAAACCAGGCUAGAAAUUAUUCUUCAAACCCUGCAAAUUUCCAGAUGCCCCAGAAAAUCAAUGCAAGACGCGCCCCCUCCGAGCCUAAGAUCGACAGCUCUCCUGCCAGGAAUGUUUCCAGUUUAAAAUGGAGUUGGAGAUUCCACCUCUUGGAGCACUGAGAGCCUUACCCUUUGGCCACCCUCGGAAGGGGAGGGGGGUCCCCCCACCCUCACCCACACUCCCCACCUGUUCCCUCCUCCCUUCGCUAGGUUGCUGGGGCAGGGGACAGGCAAGGGGCUGGGGUGAUUGCGACCCCGAACCUCCAGGGGGUAAGGAGAGCUGAGGUUUCGACCACACCCAGGAGGACACCCCACCAGGCCCCCAGAGGCCAGAAGAUCCUCGCCAAAGAGGAGAACCCCAUCCAAGGCAGGCACAGCUGCCUGUGCCCAGGUGGGACAAAAGGCUCCUACAGGCGAAACUGGUCCCCAAGCAAGUGUGCAAUGCUAUGGAGCAGGACACUGUCCACCAUCACUAGGGGUGUGUGUGUGUGUGUGUGUGUGUGUGUGUGUGUGUGUGUGUGUGAGACUGACUCGGUGCACUUGGUGCUGGUCUCUGGCCAAAGAUGUCAGCGGGGGAUAUUCACCUAUGCUACUUGGGGGGUCCGACCCCAUACCCCUAUCCCCCACUUCCGCCUCCCCCACCGCAGCAGCUCCCCAAACCCUAGGCACGCCUGCACAGGUGUGGUGCCUUUAACUGGAAAGUGCCUGAGAUCCACCCAGGAAUUGCGGCAAGGGGUGUGAGGGUAGGGAGGAUGGGGGGAUGGAAAGAAAGAUGGGGCUUUUGGAGCUCAGACAUCCCUGUCUUCCAGUAAUUGUCAUCACACUCAAUCUUUUCACCCUGACCUGCGGUAUCCAAAAAAAGCAGAGAUGGAUUCAUGGGAAAAUCGGGUUUACAAAAACGUCGGGGGGUGGACGCGGGCUCUGGGGACCUGCGCAGGCUUUGCUUAGAUUCAAAAGUAUGAUUUUAAUUUUCCUAAUGAAGGCGCGCUCUGGAGCUCAGCUGGUAAUGGCUGUGCCGAGUUUAAUAGACUUCUGUCGAACAGAAAAAGACGGAUAACUAUCGGUUAUAAGUAAUCUGCUCUAAUGCAAUUAUUUUUCUAGGUUUGAAUGUCAUUGUGUGGAGAGGGCAGGAGUGAAUUAGGGCCCCGGGGAGCGCGGACGCGGGGCUAGGAAUCGGCCUGAAAUACGAGCCCAACCUGUUUUGUGAGAUGCACUUGGGUUUGGAGGUCGGGGUCGAGGGCUUCAAAGUCCUGGGUGUGCACGUGUGAAAAUCUCUCUUGUCUCUGUCUGGGUCUCUAUCCACCCCCCCCCAUCUUCCCCUCCCUCCUCCUUCCUUCAUUCUUCCUUCUUUCCUCUAGGCUUUCUCUUCCCCUUUCUCCUCAUCUCUCCCAGGGUUAAUGUGAAUUUCCUUUUCUCCUCCUCUGUUUUGUGUCUUUACAUAUUUCAGGCAGAUCCAUUAGGUCCAGAGUAUUUCUCCAAAACACAGUCACACAGAAGUAGGCUCUUGGUCGGUGUCAACCAUUCACCGUGGAAAUCCAAUAGAAUUGGGAUGUUUUAAGAUCUUGAUGACAUGCUGUAAUAUAUCAGUGGGAUUAUUUCUAGCCAAAUACAGAGCCAGUCCAGGUCACUAUCCAAAAGUAACCCCAUCUUUGCUCUACCACAAAUUGUCAUGCGUGGUAGUUUUUAUUUGGAAUUAUCCACACUCUUCUUAGCUCUCUACAUCACUUUGCCUGGUAAACACAGCAUCAGACAAAAAGGAACUUUAAAAAAAUAAAAAUAACAUGAUUCGUAAUUUCCAUUUUUACAGAAAACAAACUGAAUCAGUGGAAGGAAAGCCUCGAACUUUCACCUGAAGGAUGGGUUUGAGAGCAUGCAGACCUGCAGGCCAAGGGGUGAGUGCUGGGCAGGACCCUGGAGCCCAGCUCUCCUGGCUGAACCCCUGCACCCAGCCACUCCAGCCCCACUUCCUCCACCAACCUCUCCCUCUGGGUCCUAGGGAACAAAGAAAGUUCUUGGGAUUGACUAAAAGGGUUAAAUUUACCCUGAAUUAUAAGUGUCUUAGCUGGAUCUGGUGUAUCUCUGACUGACCUGGCCUAUAGUUCUUGUGCUCACUCUUUCUCUCUCAUCCCCCCCUCUGUUAUACACGCAGACACACAGACACACACACACACUCACUCGUGCACAGAAAGCACACUGACUUCUCUGACUCAGUCAUACCCCAUUCUCUCUUGCCUCUGCAGCAACUCUUCAAAAAAAGAGAAAGGAAAAAUAUCAAAACAAAAACAUAUCUGCAAAACCCUUCUGGUCUCUCUGGCUGAGGAAGAGUGUAGUCACUGACCCACAAGGUGCCUGGCAGGAAGACAUCCACCUGCAGGGUGAGGGUUACAAGAGGUGGCCAUUUUCCCCUUCCUCCCUGACCCUGGCUGCUGAGAAGGGAAUGAGGAAGAAAUCCAUCUUCACGUCCCAACCACGCCCGGGACUUAGAGAAGCAGAACAGGGCAGGCACCUCCUAGCUGCAUAGGUGUGACUGUCAAGGGUCCCACACUGGCAGGCAGAAAGUCUGCCACCAGAAGAGUCAUUCCCCAACUUCUUUGGCCCUCAGCCUACAGCACCCCUUAAAGCUGGAGAAAGUUGAUAGGCGAUGCUCAGCCCGCUCCAGCAAGUUUCCCCUCUAUCAGUCUCUGCUAGGAUGGGGCAUCAGGGCCGGUUGGUGCCACGGAUAGAAGGCCCACUUCUAUCUCCAGGAACAGAUUGGAAACCGAGAAAAGGGUGACUGUCCCUCUGCCCUCCCUUCAAGGGACUCCUUUAGGAAAACGGCUGUGUUGUAUUGAUGACCUAAGAGAGUAACAGCAAAGACCCAGGAAAGUCACCACAAGCUUUAGGUGGGUCGAAUUCUGCUUAGGAAAAGUUGCUGGGAGAAGAGAGGAGAGAGACUAUAUUACCCAACAGUGAGUUUUCCAAGACCCCCCACCCCAGCCAAACAAGGUUGAGAAGGGCUUGAGAGAGAGAGCCAACAACCGUCCCUACUCCCCAGGAAGAAAUCUAGCCAGAGUAAGAAUCACAGCCUCCAAACCGAGAACUCCUUACAGAGAUGUCUUGGUGUCCCAGCCUUGGCCUGCUGGUCCAAAGUUUGUGAGCUCUCUCAGUCCAGUGUCACCCCUGAAGCAACAGAUUAGACUCGGUCUGGGGAAACAUCAGGAGGCCUUGUUAAGGAAUUAAGUUUACUUUUCUCUCAUUUACUCCCCUAUUUGAAACAUCAAUAGAAAAAGCAAAACAAAAUUUUUGCAGUAAAUCAAAUGUGUAAUGAUAGUCACACAGAAUUAAGGUGGAAAAAAAAAUAAGGUGUAAACUGUGCUAAAGCAUUUUUAAAGGACUGCUCUGAACAGAGCAUGCUCUUAGGAAACACAACACUUAAAUAAAUAUAAGCUUUAAGGAUAAAGAACUUUUAGAGUGCCUGGGAGUUCCCUCGUGGCUCAGUGGGUUAAGGAUCCAGCAUUGUCAGUGCAGCUGCCCAGGUUGGGCUCAUUCCUAGUCCGAGAACUUCCACGUGCUGCCAAAAAAAAGAGUGCCCAACGUCCCCUUACAUUACCUUCAUAUAAAUAUAAAUGGGGAGGAGUCUCAAUGAGGAGAAUCAAAUGAUAAAGGCUCCUAAAACAAAUUAUCUGAUACACAAAAUUAACACAGCAUUGCAUCCUUAAGGCAAGUUAGAGGCAAAUCGCUGACUGCAAAGUUAAGCUUUUCCUGCUUAUUCAUUGAUCCAGGUCUCUUCAUUCUAAUACAGAUUGAAUAAUCUGCUCAAAGGGGUGAUGUGGCCCACCGACCACAGAGCCAGGGCAGUUGUUUAUACUUGAAGCUUAUCCAUCAGCCUUAGGACUUUUGAAUGUUCAAGUGAAAGUGUAAAUAGAAUAAGGUCACAGGUGAUUGACAAGUUCAAGUUACUUAGCUCAAUUAUCAAAAUUUUAUUUCUAAAUUAUGUUCAAUUUGAUUUUCCUGCUUGGCUAUAAAUGACCUUAGAAAAUCCAAUGGGAAUGGACAUUUUACACCAUGUCCCAUGUUCCAUGAUUUAUUUGUAAAGUCAUUUUGUGAUGUACACCUCCUUUAACGCUUCUGUAGAGACCAAGUCUUCACAAUUAGAUUUAGAAACACGGCUAUCAUCUUAAUUCAAAGGCAGUCACUUUAAAGACACACUAAUCACUACAUUUGAACAACUUUCUAAAAUGUUGCUAAAUUCCUAAGCGCAGGCAGAACCUGCAGACUGUUUAGAUUCAAAUUCUCUGGAUAUUAGUGUGCUAUAUUUAAUGGCUAUCUAUCUAAACAGUAGAUAAGAGUGCAAUUUGUAAAUAUAUACCCUACAACUCACUUUCCGCAUACUAUCUCAAAGUUCUCCUAUGCAUUUAUUUAAUAGAUAGUGAAGCUCUUCAGAUCAAGGCUCCUGCCGCCACAUCUGGAAAUGCUUCCUUGACUCUAAUCUGCCAUCCUCCACCUCCCCCCCACCGCAAGCUCCCUCCAGCCACCAGUGAGAGAAAUAGCUGAAGCCUCUUCUUCCACCAUUAUAUGAUAACAUCAGCUUUUAAUCAGCAAGAGGCACUCCUAUUUAAAUUUACAGGAUGACUCUUUCUUUCAUUUAUCUUUUCUUUUGGAGGAAAGUGAAACAAGAGCACCACCCUUAUUAAUUAUAAGAUUGAUGGGGUGAAAAAAGCCAAAUGAAUUUGGCUUGCAAAUUAUUAGUAGAGGUAUGAAUAUUUAUGACUUUGCCAGGAACUGCAGUCAUGAACCCUGGGUAUCAAGCUUGGGAGACAGUCAGGCCAGUGCAUUCAAUGAGGGUUCGGUCUCCCCAAAUCUGACAUGACAGAAAUGGAAACUUCUAAGUGAGACCAUCCACCCGCCCCCCGCCCCCCUUUUGGGGGCUAAUCUUGCUAAAUAUGAACUUAGUUCCAGUGGCCUCCAUUAUAAAUUUUAAAACUAUCUUUGAAGGUGAAAGCAGAUACCUUUAAGUUUUGUGAAGAAAAUCUCUGUGCUUUUCCCACUUGAUAGUCAUUGAUGCUUUAAAUAGAAUUUAUCUGCAAAAUAUUUGUGACAUACUUUUAAAAAUUUUAAAGCUAUUUUUAUUCCGUGUAAAAAUAUUGGAAACCUAAAAUAUCCUGGAUGUAAAGAUGAUUGAAAGGAACACAAUCUAAGUUAGACACAGAGAGAAAUGAGUGGGGAAGAAAACAGCAGGGGAAGAGAGAUGAGAAAACAAGUUUUCUCCUUCUUUGCUUGUUUUCCUUUUCCUGCACCAGACUUACAUUUUAGUCCCAAGGAGAGGAAAUUUAAAUGCAAGGUAGAGGAAAAAAGGCUCAAGGUAGAAAGGGAAAGGAUGAGGACAAGGACUUAAUAAUUCUAUAAAAGACAAAUUAUACCCUCCUCUUUUCCUUCUCUUGACUCUACAUUGGAGGGUUUUACAGUGCUUUGGGAAAGGAGCUGAGAGAAAAAAAAAAGAAAAGAAAAGAAAAAAAGAAAAGAAAAAAGAAAACAAGAAAAAAAAAAAAGAGCUGAGGAUUUGAGACUUAAUGAGCUCAACUAUCGUCUCACCACUGGCUUCUUUUCUGUAAAAGAAUUGUUGAGUGGAGGCUGACCCAAUCCUGUGAAAAUAGUUCACUCUGACAUCAGAGCCAGCUUAGUACAUACAUUUUGAAAAGGAAGACAAGUUGUUUUCAAAACAGAAAUGCUAAGCAUUCUAAAAAGCAUAAGCAAUUUAAAAAACGCUCCUCAAAUUUUCUGAAAAACUCCCAACUCAUAUGUAUAUAUACAUACAUUUUUAUAUACACAUACAUUUUUUUUCCCACAAUCGUAAGUGGAUAUUUGCGCUAAAUUGAUGCUUUAUGUAUAUCCUGUCUCAAUUUGUCUGUUCUCUGUAAGGAUGUAAUUUUUUUUAAAGAAGCGAUACCACUGACAACAAUUUACUUAAAUUCACAAACCUUGAAAUUGAUGCAUCUCCUAUCAAUCACUCUCGGUAGAUACAGUGAAACACAUUCAACAUUUGUACAUCAAUAGUGGCACACACACAAAUCUGUUUUGUUCAAUUUAAAUGCUCUUCAACAUGUCAUUUCUUAUUUUUCUGGAACAUGUUAUGGGUUAGUCAUCCUGUUUCAGCUGGCUGUUAAAUCCUUAACCUAAUGAAAAUUCAAAAUAGAAUAUUUAUUUGUUGUAGAUUUCAGAGUUGAAAGGUAGGCUUUGGGGACAAUUUGAUCAACCCCUCUUAUCUUUCAAACAAAGAAUUGGAGGUCUAAAGGUGGCAACUUGGAGUUCCCACUGUGACCCAGUGGGUUAGGAAUCCAGCUGCAGUGGCUCGGGUCAC
Sus scrofa (pig) is the source of this 8824-nucleotide non-coding RNA. NCBI's taxonomy places the organism in Eukaryota, Metazoa, Chordata, Mammalia, Artiodactyla, Suidae. The record is from RefSeq and is a predicted model, not a curated record.